RNAcentral lists this ribosomal RNA (484 nucleotides) under uncultured bacterium. Its description in RNAcentral is "partial 16S ribosomal RNA". It matches the Rfam family "Bacterial small subunit ribosomal RNA", at positions 30 to 507 of the family's 1533-position model. The record is from RNAcentral.
AUUGAACGCUGGCGGCAGGCCUAACACAUGCAAGUCGAGCGGAUGAAGGGAGCUUGCUCCUGGAUUCAGCGGCGGACAGGUGAGUAAUGCCUUGGAAUCUGCCUGGUAGUGGGGGAUAACGUCCGGAAACGGGCGCUAAUACCGCAUACGUCCUGAGGGAGAAAGUGGGGGAUCUUCGGACCUCACGCUAUCAGAUGAGCCUAGGUCGGAUUAGCUAGUUGGUGGGGUAAAGGCCUACCAAGGCGACGAUCCGUAACUGGUCUGAGAGGAUGAUCAGUCACACUGGAACUGAGACACGGUCCAGACUCCUACGGGAGGCAGCAGUGGGGAAUAUUGGACAAUGGGCGAAAGCCUGAUCCAGCCAUGCCGCGUGUGUGAAGAAGGUCUUCGGAUUGUAAAGCACUUUAAGUUGGGAGGAAGGGCAGUAAGUUAAUACCUUGCUGUUUUGACGUUACCAACAGAAUAAGCACCGGCUAACUUCGUG